RNAcentral lists this transfer RNA (83 nucleotides) under Felis catus (domestic cat). It matches the Rfam family "tRNA". From Rfam's summary of the family: Transfer RNA (tRNA) molecules are approximately 80 nucleotides in length. Their secondary structure includes four short double-helical elements and three loops (D, anti-codon, and T loops). Lineage: Eukaryota; Metazoa; Chordata; Mammalia; Carnivora; Felidae. The record is from Rfam by way of RNAcentral.
GCCUAGGUAGCUCAGUUGGUUGAGUUUCUGACUUCAGCUCAGGUCGUGAUCUCGCGUUUUGGGUUCGAGCCCCGGGUCAGGCU